RNAcentral lists this ribosomal RNA (663 nucleotides) under Triticum aestivum (bread wheat). RNAcentral's name for it is "partial small subunit ribosomal RNA". The record is from RNAcentral. Lineage: Eukaryota; Viridiplantae; Streptophyta; Magnoliopsida; Poales; Poaceae.
AUGCAAAAACAUCCCUCUGGUCCUCAUGUUUUCUCUUCGGAUCCUUCUCAGAUCCCUAAUCCUCCAUCGGCCCUCUCGACCUCUCCAGCCGGCGAGCGACGCUGUCGGCGGUCCUGGCCAGAUCCGGUGUUGGCUCCCCUCCACAGCUUCUUCUCCCUACCUCCUGUCUUCCGCUCCGGCUUCAAGGUCGCGUGGAUCCGCCUCCCGGCCAGGCCCAACGUCGCGCGGCGCAUCAUCGCAGGGAUUCGUCGGCCGUCGCUAGUCGUCCUCGUCGAUGGCCGCGGCCGCCUCGCGCACAACUGCCUAGGUCACCGUCUGGCCUCCACCAUGCCGGACUCCGAUGGGUUCGCGACAGAUCCGAAGACCCGCGGCACAGAGUUGUUAGAGAAUACGCAGCCCAGACGGCUACACGCGCCAGCUCUUCUUCCUGACUCCAUCCCCUCACUGGCUCAGUAUCAAGAGGCAGUGCACAUGUCUUUGACUGAAUUGAUUAUGGAUCUAGCUAGGGGAAUGUGCUUGCUGGCAUGGGGGAGAUUGAGAAGUCAGACAUCUGGAUUUUGGUGUAGAACACAUGUUAUGCUCCGGGCAUAUGAAGUUCCAAGAGCAAGAAACAGUAUAACUGGCGGCAAGAGAAGAACAUUCUGUCAUAUACCAUCAGGAUAG